RNAcentral lists this long non-coding RNA (2886 nucleotides) under Homo sapiens (human). RNAcentral's name for it is "non-protein coding lnc-FAM160A1-1:2". The record is from RNAcentral. Lineage: Eukaryota; Metazoa; Chordata; Mammalia; Primates; Hominidae.
GAAUGGUUUUUAGGAUAAUUUUGCCUCAGUAAAUCCUCUCUACAUUCAGGCAUUUAUUAGGCCAUUACUUGUUUUGGGACUACAGAUUAUCCUGGCAGCUCAAUAACUGGAUAAACAGGACUUUAGUGAAAGAUUUUCAGAGGUUCUUUAGGGAAAAGAAUGACCAGGAGAAGGUGGGUGGAAGCCUUCAGUUCUUUGACCUCUUGCACGUAGAAUCCUAAAACUGAUCAUGAUUUUAGCUAGGACUGACCUUUCCUAGCUUGUAGGGUCACUGUGAAUUUUGUUCAUGUCUUAAAAGGUUUAAGUUAACCUAGUUCACUGUUACCUACACAAGUAACAAGACGGCCAAUAGGACCUGUCAGCAUGACUUCGACAUGCAUUCCAGGCAUCUUUCGGGGAGUUUAGAUUUACUGUGUCAUUUCAGAACCCAACAAAGGUGAUGGAAGCUCUUAGGCCAGAUUAAAUUUCAUGGAACGGAGGCUGCAGAAGUCUGUGCUGCUUAGUGUGUCAGCUGACUUUUUACUGGGACAAGUCUAUGAAAGGCCCACCUGUAACAAGGCCCCUUUUUGCCCUGUGGAUAUUUUAAAAGAGGGAAUUUGGUGUUGACAAUCUUACUUACACGACUCUUGCUAAGCUAUUUGACUAAGGGUUUCAAUCAGAUGCUUCCCACCUCACAAGCAAGGGUCAGCUCUAUUUGCAAAUAAUCCAUGAAUAUGUUUGUCUAAAACCUGCUGAAGAGGCAUGGCAGCCACUUCCAUGCUGCUUUUGGUAAUGGGUAAAGAAUAUGGCCUUUCAGAUAGAUCUGGUGGCUUUUCCCCAAUAGUCACCAUGUGGAAACUAUGCAACUAAAUUCAAUGGAAAUGAAAGAUACAAUAUAAAAUAGCGGGUCAUGGCCAUAAGCUGUGUCCUGAACUAACCAACUCCAAGCUGAAGGAGGGUGUGUACUUUCCGAAACUUCGAGGCCAUCUUAGUAAUUAUUUUAGCAAUAAUUACUAAAAUGUACAUGGGGUGGGGGAGCUCAGCUAAAAUAUCCUUACUUUGGUGCAAUAAUGAUCUAGGUUCUUUUUCCUAGGCCUAGGCCUCCACCUUGAAAGACAGGAACAGAAGUUCACUGUGAUGUGUGACCCUGGACAGAGAUCAAACAGCUCCUUUCUAGACCCAGAUGACCCAGAACGCAGAAGCCUAGUAGUUGGUAUCACCAGUGUCUCUUCAAAAGGGCCCCACAAAAGGCUGUCCAUUAAUUUGUUUCAUACAGUAAGCGAGCUUUUACUGAAUACUCCCUCUGUUAGGUAGCAUGCAGAGUGCUAGGGCUGGCACAUUCCUGCCUUCCCACCAGAACCCUCCAACCUCCUCCCCAGGCAACAGAACACAGGGUUUGGGCCUGACCAGGCAGAGCUGGUUCAAGCCAGCCUGGGGCAGAGCCAGUUUUCCAGCACACUUCUAACUUCUAGUCAGAGCCUCAGCAUUAUACACCCAGCCUACAGGUGUGUGGAUUCCUGAGACAGAUGGCAAUGGCAUCACCUGUGGUGCCAACUCAUACAUUUUAAUGAGAUUUCUCCCUGAAGGGUGAACCAGUAGACCAGACUAAACGCACACUCAUGCAAGAAUGUAAAAUUGUAUUUCACUGAGGCCCCUUUAUAAGCAGAGCCAUCUUUGCGAAUUUCUUGGGGUGUUAAUGUAAACAUAUCUUUAGAAUAUCUCAUCGGGUUUCAGUCAGAGCCAUGCUUUGGGUUUUUCCUAGCAGCAGUGAUGAUAUCAACUUACAAGGUUUGGCUUUCAGGAUUUCAGAAGCUGGCAUUCAAGACAACAGGCAGUUUGUCAGAGCUGAAUGAGAAUCAGCCUGGACAAAUCAAGUGCUUUAACAAGGGCAUCUUCCUCUGGGAAUAAUCAGUCCUUAAUACAGUUUGCACUUGACAUAAUAGUUUUGGUAAAUGUCUUUUUCUGGCUGCACCCCCUUUUAAGUAAGCCUUUAAUUUUAAAUGGUCUGGAAAGAUCUUCGAUGCUUUCUGUAAGGUUUAGUCACCAAGAAGCCAGAACUUUUGGUGAAAACAGAAUUUAUAAAAUGAAACUGAACCUUCUCCUUUCUUACAAAAUAAAGAUCCUGUCAGACUCCAGUCUCAGACCACCUUUGCCCAUUUGUAAUUCAGACUUGCAGAGUGAGGAGAGAACUGCUUCAGCCUUACUGUCUUGUAGAGAGAUUUGGUGAAAAUCAUGUUACUUUAGACCCAGUAGUUUUCAGGACCGCAACAGGAUGCGGGGCACCUGGCUUCCCGGGUAAGGUCACAUAGUCUCUUAAAAUUCUGUCACUAAUUUUUUUAAACGACUUUUUUUAAAAAGCCACCUCCUCAUGGGUGUCCACUUUUUUCUAGUUCCUCAGCUGCUUCUGGAGCAGUGUUCACAACGGGAAUGUUUUUACUGUCCUUGGUAGGCUACAGGUUCACAGCUUCAAAUCAAGGCCUCCAAGGAUUUUAUUCUCUUACAUCACAGUUUUGACAAGUAUGCUUUUAAAAAACAACAUUUGCAAAACUGGUCUUUAAGCGACGUGAGUCAGAGGUAACAAAGGCAUAUAUAUACCGAACAAAGGUGCUCCGGUGCAGUGGAGAGAACAGUAUUAGUGUCGCAAGCACAGGAGUGCAGACAGCCCCGCCUUCAUCGUGAUGCCUGCAGCACACCACGAUUAUCAUGAGAGGUCAAGAUUUUGAUUUACUAAUUUAUAAUCUUAUUUCCAAGCAAAACAAGUCAAUUUCAUGUUACAACUUUUUUCUUGUUUCUUUUUAUCUUGUUUGGCCUGAGGGUUGGGGGAUUUGGGGGAGUUGUCAGCUGCACAAUCUUUGAAGUGUAAGUUAAUUUUUAUGUGAUAUUUCAGUAUAUAUUUUAUUGAUUAAA